RNAcentral lists this transfer RNA (73 nucleotides) under Dermacentor silvarum. RNAcentral describes it as "transfer RNA methionine (anticodon CAU)". It matches the Rfam family "tRNA". From Rfam's summary of the family: Transfer RNA (tRNA) molecules are approximately 80 nucleotides in length. Their secondary structure includes four short double-helical elements and three loops (D, anti-codon, and T loops). Further hydrogen bonds mediate the characteristic L-shaped molecular structure. tRNAs have two regions of fundamental functional importance: the anti-codon, which is responsible for specific mRNA codon recognition, and the 3' end, to which the tRNAs corresponding amino acid is attached (by aminoacyl-tRNA synthetases). tRNAs cope with the degeneracy of the genetic code in two manners: having more than one tRNA (with a specific anti-codon) for a particular amino acid; and 'wobble' base-pairing, i.e. permitting non-standard base-pairing at the 3rd anti-codon position. Lineage: Eukaryota; Metazoa; Arthropoda; Arachnida; Ixodida; Ixodidae. The record is from RNAcentral.
GCCUCGGUAGCGCAGUAGGCAGCGCGUCAGUCUCAUAAUCUGAAGGUCGUGAAUUCGAUCCUCACCCGGGGCA